GGGGUGGGUUUUAGUUGAAAUUACAAAAACAUACAUGAAUUUCAGUAGGACUCAUACACUCACAUUUGUGUGUACACAUGCUCGUAAGCAGCUGAUAAAUUUUUUGAUGACAUAUUAUUUUUUUAUAUGCAAAUGGCAACAUUUUGGCCAAAGAAACUAAAAAAAUCAUCCUUGCCAAACCACCGAAAGAACGAUUUUCGGAAAUUUUUCCAUAAAAAAGAAGGUAGUACCAGCCUUUACCCUGAAAUUGGCUUCCCCUGGCUACGUCCCUGAUUUCAGCUACUGCUUCCGAUGUCCGACCCUUAAUAUCGAUGUUGUACCCAUAGACAAGCAGAAUGUGUUAUUUUGUGAAUAUUGUGCUAUGCUGUUUCACACCUGCAUAUUGUAUAGGGGUCGAUUAUGAAUGGUCGCGCAAUCAUAAUUACGUUGCCAGCAGUUUCUCAAGCUCAAACAUAGAAUAUCCAUCUAAAAUUCUUCAAACAUUCUAAGCGAAUUUUAAUCUGAUCAGGAAGUUGACUGGGGCACUGCUCAAUGGGGGAUACUUCCCAAUUUUCUUGCACACAUGGAUUCGUACAUGCAGUUGUGGUCAAAAUAAUAGCAGCGCAGCAAAAUAUAAAUAU
Molecule: long non-coding RNA, 620 nt
Organism: Stomoxys calcitrans (stable fly)
Lineage: Eukaryota; Metazoa; Arthropoda; Insecta; Diptera; Muscidae
Exons: 3
Source: RefSeq, a predicted model, not a curated record